RNAcentral lists this ribosomal RNA (470 nucleotides) under uncultured bacterium. RNAcentral's name for it is "partial 16S ribosomal RNA". It matches the Rfam family "Bacterial small subunit ribosomal RNA", at positions 28 to 507 of the family's 1533-position model. The record is from RNAcentral.
GACGAACGCUGGCGGCGUGCUUAACACAUGCAAGUCGAACGAGAUCCCAUGUGUAGCAUUACGCGGGAAGAUGUAGUGGCGAACGGGUGAAGAACAGGAGCGAAACGUACACCAGAGUUUGGGAUAACAGACCUAAAGGUCUGCUAAUACCGAAUAACGUCGGAAGUCCGCAGGGACAUAUGAUGAAAGGGAUUUCGGUUUGGGAGGGUCCCGCGGACCUCUCAGCUGGUGGGAAGGGUAACGGCGCACCAGGGCAACGACGGGUAGCUGGUCUGAGAGGGUGGUCAGCCACACUUGGACUGAGACACAGCCCAGACUCCUACGCAAGGGAGCAGUGGGGAAUCUUGCGCGAUGGGCGAAGGCCUGACGCAGCAACGCCGCGUGCGGGAAGAAGGCUGUCGUGCUGUGAACCGCUUUCAGUAGGAACGAAACUGACGGUACCUACAGAAGAAGGAGCGGCUAACUACGUG